This 425-nucleotide ribosomal RNA is filed under the name uncultured bacterium. Its description in RNAcentral is "bacterial SSU rRNA". It matches the Rfam family "Bacterial small subunit ribosomal RNA", at positions 30 to 455 of the family's 1533-position model. The record is from RNAcentral.
CGAACGCUGGCGGCGUGCUUAACACAUGCAAGUCGAACGCGAAAGGGAUUUCGAUCCUGAGUAGAGUGGCGCACGGGUGAGUAACGCGUAAGUUAUCUACCCCUCCAUCUGGAAUAACUCACCGAAAGGUGUGCUAAUACCGGAUACGUUGGAAACAAGAAAGGUGGCCUCUAUUUAUACGCUACCGUGGAGGGAUGAGCUUGCGUACCAUUAGCUAGUUGGUAGGGUAAUGGCCUACCAAGGCAACGAUGGUUAGCGGGUCUGAGAGGAUGAUCCGCCACACUGGAACUGGAACACGGACCAGACUCCUACGGGAGGCAGCAGUGAGGAAUAUUGCGCAAUGGGGGAAACCCUGACGCAGCGACGCCGCGUGGAUGAUGAAGGCCCUUGGGUCGUAAAAUCCUGUCAGAUGGAAAGAAAUGUAC